Molecule: long non-coding RNA, 404 nt
Filed under: Bos taurus (domestic cattle)
Lineage: Eukaryota; Metazoa; Chordata; Mammalia; Artiodactyla; Bovidae
Description: long non-coding RNA NONBTAT006582
Source: RNAcentral
GAGUAAUAGCUAUAAUUUCUACCUACUAGCCGGUUCCAGGUAAGGAAUAUCAUAGAAAUGUAUAUUCUUUAAAUAAUCAUCUCAUUGGUAUCUGUUAUUUUUUUCUCCAUUUAAAUCAAGGUCCAUUCUGAAGGAUAAGUAAUAAAAUUAAACAGGAUCUCCCAUUUCAGCACCAACAGUUAAUCUAUCUUUUCUAGAAUGGCUAUGCUCUGAAUUCUAUUUUGAUCUAGCUUACAUUGGUACAUUUUGACUUUAGGGCUUCUGUAUAGUUUCCAAUAUCCUUUAGAAAAUAUUUGAACUUCUAAAUCACUCUCCAGGCUAAAUGAAGUGAAACCGAGUUAAGUGCCAGGUUGAGAUAUUUGGACAGCAAACUCACACUCAUACUAUGGAGAAUCAUCUCGUUU